GAGAUAUUAGUAAAACAAUUACAUAACCUUGUCAAGGUUAAAUUAUAGAUUACACUCUAUAUAUCUUA
RNAcentral lists this transfer RNA (68 nucleotides) under Stenocephalemys albipes (White-footed Stenocephalemys). RNAcentral describes it as "tRNA-Asp". Lineage: Eukaryota; Metazoa; Chordata; Mammalia; Rodentia; Muridae. The record is from RNAcentral.